This 197-nucleotide ribosomal RNA is filed under the name Methanobacteriota archaeon. Its description in RNAcentral is "Euryarchaeota archaeon partial 23S ribosomal RNA". It matches the Rfam family "Archaeal large subunit ribosomal RNA", at positions 2783 to 2987 of the family's 2987-position model. Lineage: Archaea; Methanobacteriati; Methanobacteriota. The record is from RNAcentral.
UUUACCAGUUGUCUGGCAAGGCAAUGCUGGGUAGCUACGCCCUAAUGGAUAAGAGCUGAAAGCAUCUAAGCUCGAAGCCACCCCAAAAACGAGACAUCUCAGGGCACUCGUAAAAGACGAGUUUGAUAGACUGCGGAUGUAAGCACGAAGGUUCGCCGACGUGUUCAGUCCAGCAGUACUAAUCGCCCGAGCAUCUU